This 160-nucleotide ribosomal RNA is filed under the name Helotiales sp. RNAcentral describes it as "partial large subunit ribosomal RNA". It matches the Rfam family "Eukaryotic large subunit ribosomal RNA", at positions 99 to 261 of the family's 3401-position model. Lineage: Eukaryota; Fungi; Ascomycota; Leotiomycetes; Helotiales. The record is from RNAcentral.
CGGGAAUAGCUCAAAUUUUAAAUCGGACUUUGUUCGAGUUGUAAUUUGUAGAAGAUGCUUCGGGUGUAGCACCGGUCUAAGUUCCUUGGAACAGGACGUCAUAGAGGGUGAGAAUCCCGUAUGUGACUGGCUGCCUUCGCCUAUGUGAAGCUCUUUCGAC